GACGAACGCUAGCGGCAGGCCUAACACAUGCAAGUCGAGGGAGGAGCCUUCGGGCUUCGACCGGCGUACGGGUGCGUAACGCGUAUACAAUCUGCCUUUCACAUAGGGAUAGCCCGAAGAAAUUUGGAUUAAUACCUAAUGGUAUAUAGAUGUGGCAUCACCUUUAUAUUAAAGCUGAGGCGGUGAAAGAUGAGUAUGCGUUCUAUUAGCUAGUUGGAGAGGUAACGGCUCCCCAAGGCGACGAUAGAUAGGGGUUCUGAGAGGGAUAUCCCCCACACUGGUACUGAGAUACGGACCAGACUCCUACGGGAGGCAGCAGUGAGGAAUAUUGGACAAUGGUCGGAAGACUGAUCCAGCCAUGCCGCGUGCAGGAAGACGGCCUUAUGGGUUGUAAACUGCUUUUGCAGGGGAAGAAUAAGGACUACGCGUAGUUUGAUGACGGUACUCUGCGAAUAAGCAUCGGCUAACUCCGUG
This 474-nucleotide ribosomal RNA is filed under the name uncultured bacterium. RNAcentral describes it as "partial 16S ribosomal RNA". It matches the Rfam family "Bacterial small subunit ribosomal RNA", at positions 28 to 507 of the family's 1533-position model. The record is from RNAcentral.